GAUGAACGCUGGCGGUAUGCUUAACACAUGCAAGUCGAACGGACUCUUCGGAGUUAGUGGCGGACGGGUGAGUAACGCGUGCGAAUCUGGCUUUGGGUUCGGGACAACCACUGGAAACGGUGGCUAAUACCGGAUGUGCCGAGAGGUAAAAGAGAAAUUGCCUGAAGAUGAGCUCGCGUCUGAUUAACUAGUUGGUGAGGUAAAGGCUCACCAAGGCAGCGAUCAGUAGCUGGUCUGAGAGGAUGACCAGCCACACUGGGACUGAGACACGGCCCAGACUCCUACGGGAGGCAGCAGUGGGGAAUUUUCCGCAAUGGGCGAAAGCCUGACGGAGCAAUACCGCGUGAGGGAAGAAGGCUCUUGGGUUGUAAACCUCUUUUCUUAGGGAAGAACAAAAUGACGGUACCUAAGGAAUCAGCAUCGGCUAACUCCGUG
RNAcentral lists this ribosomal RNA (435 nucleotides) under uncultured bacterium. RNAcentral's name for it is "partial 16S ribosomal RNA". It matches the Rfam family "Bacterial small subunit ribosomal RNA", at positions 28 to 507 of the family's 1533-position model. The record is from RNAcentral.